GAAAGGCGCGGCAUACCACCGAGAUCGAGCGCCCAUCCACGCUUCACAGACACCCUUAUCUACACCGUUACCGAACAUUCGUGAAACGCCGCAGUAGUCAUGUCCAAAAAGUACAAGUUCUUCUACGAGAACGAUGGCAGCGGUCGAGAUACCUUCGUCAACUACGCCGGCGCGUACUGGAUGAACCCGCUGCCAGCCGGCACUUUCUUCAAGAGUAGAGGGCACCUGACGCAGUCGAGCGUGCCGACAGAAAACGGAACUAGCCUCGUGAUGGAUGACAGCACCCCGUACCCGGGCCGGACCCUGUUUGGCAAAUCGCGCUACGGUACUACCAUUCUGGCGGCAGGCCAGGCCGCCACACGCGACGCUACGGCUGACUCGCAAUCUGGCCACUCUGCCGGCAUGGGUAGUACCUCCGGCUCGACCGCCAACCACGUGGCGGGGACGGAUGCGGACGCGCAAGAUUUUGACGGGGAGGCGACGGCACUCGAGCACAUAUCAUUCGACGUCUCGAACCCGGAGCGGCGUCUGCAGCAGCCAGGGCACGCUACGACCGGCCUGGAGGGCACCGGCGGCGGCUCCACCUACAACGGCGUCAAGGAGCCAUGGACAGCGCCGAACGCGGUGGACAGCACGCUGUUGCGGCUGGCUCCUGCGUACGAGUCGACAUGCCAUUACCACCUGCGCACUGGUCUCUUCUACACCGAGGACGCUGCGCCGCCGCACGAGAUGACUCUUCCAGACAAGGGUGUCACGUGGGGCAGGUCUCGCUACUACUGAGCGGCGAUUCUCGUGUACGUGUACGUGUGUGUGUGCGUGAGAGAGUGGUUGUGUGCAAGGGACGUGGUCGGCCGUCCAUCUCGCCGCUUUUCUUUGCCAAAACACUGCGUAUGCCGCAACACAAUUGUACAGUACCUUCCUUCGCACUCCAAACCUGCGUCGCCGACCGCCCCAGCGCGGCACCCGAACUAUCGCCCACCCAGUCACGCGUUUGUAGCCAUCUGUGUGUGUGUGUGUGCCUGCCCGCACCUGCGCCUCGCUCUGUCGAUCUGGGUCGUUCGCAGGCCUCUUUUUGUUUGUCUUAAUAUUGUAUUGUCAAGUGUGUGGCCAUCGUCUCCACCUAGACUUCCUACACCUUCGCUGCGCGUCUGCACAAGACAUCUAGCGGCAAAGCUGGAUGCGUCGUGCAUAUGCACAGGAGGGGGUCGGAGUCACUCAACAGCCUCUCUGAGGUGUCGCUCACGCACGGAUCAUGUACAGCAGUAUCACGUUUUUUUCCGUUGUUUAUUAUUAUGUGCUUGACGCCAGAGAGGCGUAGGCGGAUGGCCGCCCUUGCUCCCAAACUCCAACUGCACAGAUGCACAUCAGCGGAAAAGGAAGGGAAAGCGGGCGCUCACAGACCCUCUCCACCUCGAUCUCACGCAAGCACGCACACGAUAGCCCUAUAUGCAUAUACAUGUAUAUUCUUCCAUCUCUCUCGUGUUGCUCCUAAACAGACGCUGCGGCCCCGCUUGGUCUGCCUUUCGUUUUUGUAUCUCUCUCUGUGUUGGUGUGUAUCGGGGGGGGAGUGCGUGUGUGCGUGUACUCGAGUUGCUAGUUCCGAUCACGGCUUUUUGCUAUGUUUCUUUUUUGUCUCCUCACCGGAUCUUCCCAUGUACCGCUGUCUCACGUGGAUGCUUAUGCUCCCCUCCUUUCCUGUCCCCCCCCCGCUGGCGCCCGCCCAAUCUAGGUGUGACAAGGUGUGAAGAGCAAGUACCUUGGCAGUGCAGAGAACCAGACGCACACUGCGUAGCCAUACAAACAAAAAAGCGAAGGAUGCGCAGGCCAGUGCCCUUGCAUGUCGGCGCUGUGCUUCGCUUGCUGCUCUUUCUAAGGGUGGCGGGUCGUAACAAAGCAUGCGCGACAGGGGCAGUGCUGCCGUCAGAGACACAUCUGCCGAGAAGGACUAGAGAGAGCCGAGGAGAGGUCAAUGUAAACCGACAAGUAUCUGUCGCCAUCUGUCUCUUUCCUCGGUAUCUGCCUUUGCUCACUAUGUGUGCAUGUCUGAGCACAUGUGCGUGUGGGGUGGGGUAGGGGAGGGGAGGUGCACGAAUCCUCAAUGUGUGGUGAGCGCGAGUCCUUAGGGAGGCUAAGGGGGCUGAUGCUCACCCACACUUCUUUUUGUUGGGGAAGGGGGCACGCAUGUGCCAGACACAAACACGCUGUGAAGCGGGGCGGAUGUAAUCGUGUGCGGAUCGUCCUCUCCUGGUGUUGGUGAAGGGUGUCGCCGCUGGAAGCUGUGCAUCGUGGACCUUCAUCCGCCUCCGCCCCGUUAGAAUGUCUGUGGCACCCCCUCCGCCGCGUGACUCUC
Molecule: unclassified non-coding RNA, 2350 nt
Filed under: Leishmania donovani
Lineage: Eukaryota; Euglenozoa; Kinetoplastea; Trypanosomatida; Trypanosomatidae
Description: gene:LdHU3.28.1620(CDS-product:hypothetical_prote in_conserved)
Source: RNAcentral